GCGUGUGUGAAGAAGGCCUGCGGGUUGUAAAGCACUUUCAGUUGGGAAGAAAAGCGGAAGGCUAAUACCUUUCUGUCUUGACGUUACCAACAGAAGAAGCACCGGCUAACUCCGUGCCAGCAGCCGCGGUAAUACGGAGGGUGCGAGCGUUAAUCGGAAUUACUGGGCGUAAAGCGUGCGUAGGCGGUACGUUAAGUCGGUUGUGAAACCCCUGGGCUCAACCUGGGAACUGCAUCCGAUACUGGCGCACUGGAGUAUGGUAGAGGGGAGUGGAAUUCCGGGUGUAGCGGUGAAAUGCGU
RNAcentral lists this ribosomal RNA (300 nucleotides) under uncultured bacterium. RNAcentral describes it as "bacterial SSU rRNA". It matches the Rfam family "Bacterial small subunit ribosomal RNA", at positions 399 to 691 of the family's 1533-position model. The record is from RNAcentral.